GAUGAACGCUGGCGGCGUGCCUAAUACAUGCAAGUCGGGCGAACGGACGAGAAGCUUGCUUCUCUGAUGUUAGCGGCGGACGGGUGAGUAACACGUGGAUAACCUACCUAUAAGACUGGGAUAACUUCGGGAAACCGGAGCUAAUACCGGAUAAUAUUUUGAACCGCAUGGUUCAAAAGUGAAAGACGGUCUUGCUGUCACUUAUAGAUGGAUCCGCGCUGCAUUAGCUAGUUGGUAAGGUAACGGCUUACCAAGGCAACGAUGCAUAGCCGACCUGAGAGGGUGAUCGGCCACACUGGAACUGAGACACGGUCCAGCCUCCUACGGGAGGCAGAAGCAGGGAAUCUUCCGAAAUGGGCGAAAGCCUGCAGGAGCAACGCCGCGUGGGUGAUGAAGGUCUGCGGACCGUAAAACUCUGUUAUUAGGGAAGAACAUAUUUGUAAGUAACUGUGCACAUUUUGACGGUACCUAAUAAGAAAGCACCGGCUAACUACGUG
Molecule: ribosomal RNA, 497 nt
Filed under: uncultured bacterium
Lineage: Bacteria
Description: partial 16S ribosomal RNA
Rfam family: Bacterial small subunit ribosomal RNA
Source: RNAcentral